RNAcentral lists this ribosomal RNA (497 nucleotides) under uncultured bacterium. Its description in RNAcentral is "partial 16S ribosomal RNA". It matches the Rfam family "Bacterial small subunit ribosomal RNA", at positions 28 to 507 of the family's 1533-position model. The record is from RNAcentral.
GAUGAACGCUGGCGGCGUGCCUAAUACAUGCAAGUCGAGCGAACAGACGAGAAGCUUGCUGUUUUGAUGUUAGCGGCGGACGGGUGUGUAACACGUGGAUAAUCCACCUAUAUGACGGGUAUAAUUUCGGGAAACCGGAUCUAAUAGCGGAGAAUAUUCUGAACCGCAGGGGUCAAUAGUGAAAGACGGUCGUGCUGUCACUUAUAGAGGGAUCCGCGCUGCAUUAGCUAGUUGGUAAGGUAACGGGUUACCAAGGCAACGAUGCAUAGCCGACGUGACAGGGUGAUAGCCCACCUUGGAGCUGAGACACGCACCAGACUCCUGCGGGAGGCAGCAGUAGGCAACCGUACGCAGUGGGCGAGAGCAUGACGGAGCGACGCGACGUGAGUGACGGCGGCCUCCCGAGCGUAAAGCUCUGUUACUAGUGAAGAACAUAUGUGGCAGUAACUGUGGCGAUCGUGACGGUAACUAGUAAGAAAGCAACGGCUAACUACGUG